Molecule: long non-coding RNA, 229 nt
Organism: Ornithorhynchus anatinus (platypus)
Lineage: Eukaryota; Metazoa; Chordata; Mammalia; Monotremata; Ornithorhynchidae
Exons: 2
Source: RefSeq, a predicted model, not a curated record
CCAGUUCUCGGUACAGUGCAGGGCACAUAGAAAAUGCCACUCAUCAUUUUUAUUAUUUCUCCCUGCUCAAUCGGAGUGUGUGACAUUAGAGAGCCAUAGAAGUCCAACCAGCCCACAGCACGCCACACAAGCUCACGUGGAUAGAUUCUCUCGUCAUCAGUAGUGUCAUCUCGAAAACCAAAGGCAACUAUAUACACGGUGUUUGGAUUAAAUAAAAGAGUGUACAACC